GUCACGGCCGCCGCCGCCGCCGCCGCCGCCGGCCGCCGCCCCCCGGGGCUCUCUCCCGCCUGCGCCCGACUACCCUCUUCUCCCGGCACCGCCGCACUCGAGCCGCCGGCUCCUCCGCGGCGGGUUUUAUUCGGCGCCGGCGGAAGGUUCCACAAGGAGACAGUGACGCCACAAAGGCCCAGAACUUUCGCGGAGGUUCCGGCGGCGCCUGGAGCUGAUGGGCUGGGGCGCUGCGGCGGGUUAGCGGCCCGGACCCCCGACGCCCCGGCCCGGCGCCACCCCCCGGCUCACCCGGUCGCCUGUUCCUCCGGCCUGCCGGCCUGCCGUCUGAGUCCCCGGAACUCCAGUUCUGACUGCCGCCCCGGGCCAUGUUGCGGGGCUUGGAAGACGGCUUCGGAGUGGAGGGCGCCUUCCGACGGCCGCCCCGCCGCCCCGGGGCCGGCCCUUUUCCCUUGCGUGGGUCCGUGGGUCCGGCUGGCUCGAAGAUCGGGUGGCUUGGAGGGCAGCGUCGGCGGGAACCCUACUGGGAGGGCUGACCGGGCCUCUCCCUGGGGGUGUGGCCGCCCUCUGUUUGGUCAUGUCCGGAUGCGCCCGGAGGCAUGCCUCGGAUUGUUGCGUUUUUGAGGGGUUUGAAGUGGGUAGGGGCCCUCUACCGUGCUGGGGUCGCAUUUCCCGAGGCCAUUUCCUGAAGCUGCUGGCGCCCCCCGGGGCAUCUUCAAGGCUGAGCCAACACCUGAGGACACCUGAGGACACCUGAGGAAGAGCCUCUGUCUCCCAGUCUCUGUGAGAAAGUAGAAUUCUAACUUCAAUAAUACCAGCUAGCAGACACCACUGGCCUAGUUGCAUUUACACUUGACCUUUGGGCUUUUACAAAUAUAUAUAUAUAUGGAUCUUCUGAAAAGUUUUUUGAGGUGCACGUUUCUCUCUUUUGUUUUUCUCUUUGAUUUAUGGACACGAUGCUGAGAUUCAAUCACUACAUGAAACUCCCGGCUGUGAAAACAAAACAAAAAACCCAAAGGGCUGUUUUUUCCACCAGCCCUGGGGAAGCUAUGUGACGGUCGGAUGCCAGUUUCAGAAAGUUUCACCAUUCUUUCCACCCUAUGUUCCUCUCUUUCCUCCAGAAGGAAGUUGAUCCUAGUGAUUUCAGCCCAUGCAUUAAACAGGAAACAAUAAUAAAUGUGUAGAAUUCAUAUUUUUCUAAAGGGAACUUAAAAACUGCUGCUACUUUAUGUACAAAACUGGUUUAUACCACAUGAACACAGAAUCACAAGUUCGGUUUUGGUACUUUUCGUUCCGCUUUGUGUUCAGCUGUAUAGUACUUCCAAGUUCAAAAUGAGAAGAAAAGCUGUUCUGUAUCAAACCGUCUAAGCAAUAAAUGUUAUAUUCUAAAGAUGGAAGAAAAAAAAAAAUCCGCCUGCCAAUGCAGGGGACGCAGGUUCGAGCCCUGGUCUGGGAAGAUUCCACAUGCCGCGGAGCAGCUAAGCCCACAUGCCACAACUACUGAGCCUGCGCUCUAGAGCCCGCGAACCACAACUACUGAAGCCCAUGUGCCACAACUACUGAAGCCCGUGUGCCUAGAACCUGUGCUCUGCAACAAGAGAAGCCACUGCAAUGAGAAGCCCACGCACCGCAACGAAGAGUAGCCCCGCUCACCGCAACUAGAGAAAGCCCACGCGCAACAACGAAGACCCAAUG
This is a long non-coding RNA of Balaenoptera ricei (Rice's whale), 1695 nucleotides long. RefSeq lists it as uncharacterized. The record is from RefSeq and is a predicted model, not a curated record. Lineage: Eukaryota; Metazoa; Chordata; Mammalia; Artiodactyla; Balaenopteridae. The transcript is spliced from 3 exons.